Molecule: ribosomal RNA, 253 nt
Filed under: uncultured bacterium
Lineage: Bacteria
Description: partial 16S ribosomal RNA
Rfam family: Bacterial small subunit ribosomal RNA
Source: RNAcentral
UACGGAGGGAGCUAGCGUUGUUCGGAAUUACUGGGCGUAAAGCGCACGUAGGCGGCUUUGUAAGUUAGAGGUGAAAGCCCGGGGCUCAACUCCGGAACUGCCUUUAAGACUGCAUCGCUUGAAUCCAGGAGAGGUGAGUGGAAUUCCGAGUGUAGAGGUGAGAUUCGUAGAUAUUCGGAAGAACACCAGUGGCGAAGGCGGCUCACUGGACUGGUAUUGACGCUGAGGUGCGAAAGCGUGGGGAGCAAACAGG